AAUCAACGCUGGCGGCGUGCCUAACACAUGCAAGUCGAACGCGAAAAGGGCUUCGGCCCUUAGUAGAGUGGCGAACGGGUGAGUAACACGUGGGUGACCUACCUUUGAAUGGGGGAUAACGUCCCGAAAGGGACGCUAAUACCGCAUAACAUCCUGCUUUUGAACAGGUGGAGAUCAAAGCCGGGGAUCGCAAGACCUGGCGUUUGAAGAGGGGCCCGCGUCUGAUUAGCUAGUUGGUGAGGAACGGCCCACCAAGGCAACGAUCAGUAUCCGGCCUGAGAGGGCGGACGGACACACUGGGACUGAGACACGGCCCAGACUCCUACGGGAGGCAGCAGUGGGGAAUAUUGGACAAUGGGCGAAAGCCUGAUCCAGCCAUGCCGCGUGAGUGAUGAAGGCCCUAGGGUUGUAAAGCUCUUUCGGCGGGGAAGAUAAUGACGGUACCCGCAGAAGAACG
Molecule: ribosomal RNA, 457 nt
Filed under: uncultured bacterium
Lineage: Bacteria
Description: bacterial SSU rRNA
Rfam family: Bacterial small subunit ribosomal RNA
Source: RNAcentral